RNAcentral lists this ribosomal RNA (464 nucleotides) under Platynaspis sp. PFRJ-2020. RNAcentral describes it as "partial large subunit ribosomal RNA". The record is from RNAcentral. Lineage: Eukaryota; Metazoa; Arthropoda; Insecta; Coleoptera; Coccinellidae.
ACGUGAAACCGUUCAGGGGUAACCUGAGAACCCGAAAGGUCGAAUGGGGAGAUUCAUUCGCGAACCGAGCGUUGGCGUGAUGUGUCGGUGUGACGGUGACGUUCGCGUCGAUCCGCGCCCUUCGCGUUACGAGCCGACUUCGGACGCGUGCACUUCUCCCCUAGUAGGACGUCGCGAUCCGUUGGGUGCAGGUCUACGGUCCGAUGUGUAGCCCGCGAGCAAGUUUCGGCUUCGCUCUCGGACACGCGGUAAUCCGACCUGCUCGCUCGACGGUUCACCAGAUGGCGGGAGGCCGCGACUUCAGUUCGCGUCCGGCCCGCGGCAAGCUCUCCAGCUGUGUUGGCGAUCGGACCUAGCGCCGAUUCCGGCCGCUGGUGGCUGUUCGCCGCGGAGUUCUCGGACAGACCUCUUUGAAACGCCGAUCGGCGACGCUAUAGCUUUGGGUACUUUCAGGACCCGUCUUG